This is a long non-coding RNA of Paramisgurnus dabryanus, 1913 nucleotides long. RefSeq lists it as uncharacterized. The record is from RefSeq and is a predicted model, not a curated record. NCBI's taxonomy places the organism in Eukaryota, Metazoa, Chordata, Actinopteri, Cypriniformes, Cobitidae.
AGAGAACUGAAAAAGCACAGACUCAAAAGUCAGAAACUGAGAUGAUGAUGAGACAGUUGGAGCACUCAUCAGGUCACGUAUAAAAAGCAACAGCAGCAGGACCAAUGCCCACUGCAGGGAUAAAUUUACAUUACCUGACACUAUUAAGCCCUUUUCACACAGACAUUCGGGAUCGUUUGAUUUUAUUUAUUUUUUUGUUCAUUCACACUGCUAGUGAUUUGCCAUCUCCAAGGUCCCAGAAAGACACGUGACCUGUUAAAAGUCCAUCACUGUCUUUUACCCAGCGUCUGAAGUUUGCAUAUUAUUUAUUAUUUCUCUCUCCAGAAACCACUUGCGUGCAUUUUUGUUUAUGAUAAGACUAUAAAUGAGCGUGUGACGCGUCGUUCUAUGCUGGUGAAUGAUUUCAUCUUCAGAAUGGAUAUUUGACGAGCUCCCUGAUCUCUGCUUUAAUCCAGUUUUCAGACAUUUCUCAUCGUGAUUGUUAAUAUGCAUUUAAAACCCGCAUUUUGAGGAGCUGAACGAUAUACGCAAAGGCAUUUUUGUUUAUUAUAAGCUCAAAUGAGCAUGUGACGCUAUAUUCUUUUAUGCUGCUGAAUGAAUAGUGAUGAGCUAACUUACCUGAUAUCUGCACCAGUCCAGUUUGCUGACAUUUCUCUUCGUGAAUGUUGAUCUGCAUGUAAAUCCCUCAUUUUAAAGAGUUGAAUCAACUUCAUGUUGCCAUUACACGCACGUCCUCGUUUAUGCGUCUCAUUUAUCAUUUCCUGAUAACUGCUUCAAUCUAGUUUGCUGACAUUUUUGGUCUUUAAAGAGCUAAACAAAAACUUUUGUUGUGAUGACGCACACAUUCUCACAACAACACGCUCAUUACGGCAUUGUUUCGACUUCUUGUUCACACAGAGGGUUUUCCAGGUAUCUUACUAGGUCCUCUUUCCGGCAACAAUCCCUGAAGAUUUACGGGAUGUGUUUGCGUUUACACAAAUGCUUGUCUGGCAAUUUUACGGGUAUUAUCUGAAACCAAAGGUCUGUGUAAACGGUUUUUUAGUUUAUGGCAGGUGCUGAUGUUAUUCUUUUUAGGGCUUAGAGACUGAAUGUUUGGAGUAAAAAAAAAAUAUUUUCAGCAAUGUUUGUAGAACAUUUCAAAACAUUUACGGUCGGUUUUGCCGGACCGGGUUUAGAUUAAUCCAGGACUAUGCAUUAGUUGUCACUCUGUGAUUUCAUUACCAUUUACGAAUAAGGGGCCAAUCACACCAAUGGAAACACAAGUCGCGCCACACUGCCUUUUUUUGGUCACUUUAAUGCAUAAUGCACACUACCCAUAGAAACUCAUUGAAAAAAGAUGCCUGCAACUUCCAUAAAUGCGUUUGGUGUGAUCGACCCCUAAGUCAUUUCAAUAACUAUUACCACCUUUAUAUGUUUUAUUAUUCAUUUCCAUCUAUGUCACUUUACUCUUAUAACAUUACUAUUUAUUAAUCACUUAAUGCUGCUACCUUAUUACUGUUACUACUGUAAAUACUUAUGAUAUUUACUACAUUUUAAAUUGCUAUUACCCUAAUUAAUCUCUUACUACUGUUACCAUUAUUCUGUAAAAUGUCAUGUGGCACUACGGCAGGCGUUAUAUCCUAUGUACCUGUCCUAUGGCAUAUGUUUGCACUUAUUGCAGUACGUAGUUUUGUGUUGUUUUUUUUGUUUAGUGUAGCUCUGUAUUAUCUAUAUGACUCUUUGAUGUUCUGUGUAGCUCCAUAGUCCUGGAGAAAUGUUUUUACAAACAUACCUUACUUGACACAAAACAAUGGCACUGAUAUAUUUUAAGAUACGGUAUAGAUAUAUUCAAAGUCUAAUAUUGUAAUAGAAAAAGGUUUUUGACCCAAAUACAAAAUGAUUUUUUUUAUUAAAUUAAAAGCACAAUUUGUAAA